RNAcentral lists this ribosomal RNA (782 nucleotides) under uncultured Actinomycetes bacterium. Its description in RNAcentral is "bacterial SSU rRNA". It matches the Rfam family "Bacterial small subunit ribosomal RNA", at positions 65 to 824 of the family's 1533-position model. The record is from RNAcentral. Lineage: Bacteria; Bacillati; Actinomycetota; Actinomycetes.
AACGCGAAAGCCCCCUUCGGGGGGCAAGUAGAGUGGCGCACGGGUGAGUAACACGUAGGUAAUCUACCUUUGGAUGGGGAAUAACAACCGGAAACGGUUGCUAAUACCGCAUAAUGCAGCGGCACCUAAUGGUGACAGUUGUUAAAGCGGGGGAUCGCAAGACCUCGCGUCUGAAGAGGAGCCUGCGGCAGAUUAGCUAGUUGGUAAGGUAACGGCUUACCAAGGCGAUGAUCUGUAGCCGGCCUGAGAGGGCGGUCGGCCACACUGACACUGACAUACGGGUCAGACUCCUACGGGAGGCAGCAGUCGGGAAUUUUGGGCAAUGGGCGAAAGCCUGACCCAGCAACGCCGCGUGAAGGAUGAAAUCCCUCGGGAUGUAAACUUCGCAAGAACGGGAAGAAUAAGUAAGAGCUAACAUCUCUUACGAUGACGGUACUGUUUGUAAGCUCCGGCUAACUCCGUGCCAGCAGCCGCGGUAAUACGGGGGGAGCAAGCGUUGUUCGGAUUUACUGGGCGUAAAGGGCGCGUAGGCGGCCACCGCAAGUCGACUGUGAAAUCUCCGGGCUUAACCCGGAACGGUCAGCCGAUACUGCGGGGCUAGAGUGCAGAAGGGGCAACUGGAAUUCUCGGUGUAGCGGUGAAAUGCGUAGAUAUCGAGAGGAACACCUGCGGCGAAGGCGGGUUGCUGGGCUGACACUGACGCUGAGGCGCGAAAGCUAGGGGAGCGAACGGGAUUAGAUACCCCGGUAGUCCUAGCCUUAAAACGAUGAAUGCUUGGUGUC